This 429-nucleotide ribosomal RNA is filed under the name Bacteroidota bacterium. RNAcentral's name for it is "Bacteroidetes bacterium partial 16S ribosomal RNA". It matches the Rfam family "Bacterial small subunit ribosomal RNA", at positions 355 to 776 of the family's 1533-position model. Lineage: Bacteria; Pseudomonadati; Bacteroidota. The record is from RNAcentral.
UAGGGAAUCUUCGGCAAUGGGGGGAACCCUGACCGAGCAACGCCGCGUGAGUGAAGAAGGUUUUCGGAUCGUAAAGCUCUGUUGUUAAGGAAGAACGAGUGUGAGAAUGGAAAGUUCAUACUGUGACGGUACUUAACCAGAAAGGGACGGCUAACUACGUGCCAGCAGCCGCGGUAAUACGUAGGUCCCGAGCGUUGUCCGGAUUUAUUGGGCGUAAAGCGAGCGCAGGCGGUUAGAAAAGUCUGAAGUGAAAGGCAGUGGCUCAACCAUUGUAGGCUUUGGAAACUGUUUAACUUGAGCGCAGAAGGGGAGAGUGGAAUUCCAUGUGUAGCGGUGAAAUGCGUAGAUAUAUGGAGGAACACCGGUGGCGAAAGCGGCUCUCUGGUCUGUAACUGACGCUGAGGCUCGAAAGCGUGGGGAGCGAACAGG